CACAGAGGUGGCAAGCGUUGUUCGGAAUUACUGGGCGUAAAGGGCGCGUAGGCGGCUUGCCAAGUCAGGGGUGAAAUCCUGCAGCUUAACUGUAGAAGGGCCUUUGAUACUGGCGAGCUCGAGGGAGGUAGGGGUAUGUGGAACUUCCGGUGGAGCGGUGAAAUGCGUUGAUAUCGGAAGGAACGCCGGUGGCGAAAGCGACGUACUGGACCUCUUCUGACGCUGAGGCGCGAAAGCUAGGGGAGCAAACGGG
This 253-nucleotide ribosomal RNA is filed under the name uncultured bacterium. RNAcentral's name for it is "partial 16S ribosomal RNA". It matches the Rfam family "Bacterial small subunit ribosomal RNA", at positions 524 to 776 of the family's 1533-position model. The record is from RNAcentral.